CGGACGGGUGAGUAAUGUCUGGGAAACUGCCUGAUGGAGGGGGAUAACUACUGGAAACGGUAGCUAAUACCGCAUAACGUCUUCGGACCAAAGUGGGGGACCUUCGGGCCUCACGCCAUCGGAUGUGCCCGGAUGGGAUUAGCUAGUAGGUGGGGUAAUGGCUCACCUAGGCGACGAUCCCUAGCUGGUCUGAGAGGAUGACCAGCCACACUGGAACUGAGACACGGUCCAG
Molecule: ribosomal RNA, 232 nt
Filed under: uncultured bacterium
Lineage: Bacteria
Description: partial 16S ribosomal RNA
Rfam family: Bacterial small subunit ribosomal RNA
Source: RNAcentral